GACGAACGCUGGCGGCGUGCCUAACACAUGCAAGUCGAGCGAAUGAAGUUCCUUCGGGAACGGAUUUAGCGGCGGACGGGUGAGUAACACGUGGGCAACCUACCUCAUAGAGGGGAAUAGCCUUCCGAAAGGGAGAUUAAUACCGCAUAAGAUUGUAGUACCGCAUGGUACAGCAAUUAAAGGAGCAAUCCGCUAUGAGAUGGGCCCGCGGCGCAUUAGCUAGUUGGUGAGGUAACGGCUCACCAAGGCGACGAUGCGUAGCCGACCUGAGAGGGUGAUCGGCCACAUUGGGACUGAGACACGGCCCAGACUCCUACGGGAGGCAGCAGUGGGGAAUAUUGCACAAUGGGGGAAACCCUGAUGCAGCAACGCCGCGUGAGUGAUGACGGCCUUCGGG
This 397-nucleotide ribosomal RNA is filed under the name uncultured bacterium. RNAcentral describes it as "bacterial SSU rRNA". It matches the Rfam family "Bacterial small subunit ribosomal RNA", at positions 28 to 422 of the family's 1533-position model. The record is from RNAcentral.